AGAAAGUGCCUUUCAGGCAUCCUCUCCUAAUACUACGGUCGGUCGUUAAGACCGACCUUUUUUUUAUUCUGA
This is a small RNA of Zymomonas mobilis subsp. mobilis, 72 nucleotides long. It matches the Rfam family "Makes More Granules Regulator RNA (mmgR)". From Rfam's summary of the family: SuhB later renamed mmgR (makes more granules regulator) was a putative non-coding RNA found multiple times in the Agrobacterium tumefaciens genome and related alpha-proteobacteria. Other non-coding RNAs uncovered in the same analysis include: speF, ybhL, metA, and serC. The record is from Rfam. Lineage: Bacteria; Pseudomonadati; Pseudomonadota; Alphaproteobacteria; Sphingomonadales; Zymomonadaceae.